CUUUAAAUUAUAUUUAUUUAUAAAUUUUAUUAUUUUAUAAAUAUAAAAUUUAAUUUUAGUUUAUAAUUUAUUUUAUUUUUAUAUUAUAUGUAAAUUUUUGUAUUAAUUAAAUAUUAUUUAAAAUAAUUAUUUAUACAGUAAUUAGAUUUAAAAAUUAAUGAAAAUUAGAUUUAGUAAUUAAUUAUAUAAUAGAAAAAAUUUGUGCCAGCAUUUGCGGUUAGACAAAUUAUUAAAAUAAAUUUUAUUGAUAUUAAAUAAGAUGAAUUUUUAUAAUAAUAUUAUAAUAAAAUGAUAAAAGUGAAAUUUUUUAUUUUUAUUAAUUUAUUUGAUUAAAAUUUGAUUUUUGAAAUUUAAAAUAUAAACUAGGAUUAGAUACCCUAUUAUUUUAAAAGUAAAGUUAAUAUUAAGGGAUUAUAAGAUAUGUUCUUUAAAUUUAAAAAAUUUGGCGGUAUUUUAUUCUAAUUAGAGGAAUCUGUUCUAUAAUUGAUAGUCCACGAUAAAUUUUACUUAAUUUAUUAAUUAAUAUAUCGUCGUUAACAAAAUAAUUUUUAAGAAUAUUUAAUUUUAUUAAAUUUGAUUAAGUUUUAUUUCAGAUCAAGAUGUUGUUUAUAAUUAUGAAGAAAUGGAUUACAAUAAAUUAAUUUAAAUGGAUAGUUUAUUGAAAAAUAAAUUUGAAAGUGGAUUUAAUAGUAAUUUAUAAAAAAUUUUAUAAAUGAUUAUGGCACUAAAAUAUGCACAUAUCGCCCGUCGCUCUUAUUACUCAAUAAGAUAAGUCGUAACAAAGUAGAUGUACUGGAAAGUGUAUCUAGAAAG
This 813-nucleotide non-coding RNA is filed under the name Negha inflata. Lineage: Eukaryota; Metazoa; Arthropoda; Insecta; Raphidioptera; Inocelliidae. The record is from RNAcentral.